RNAcentral lists this ribosomal RNA (454 nucleotides) under uncultured bacterium. RNAcentral describes it as "partial 16S ribosomal RNA". It matches the Rfam family "Bacterial small subunit ribosomal RNA", at positions 341 to 792 of the family's 1533-position model. The record is from RNAcentral.
ACGGAAGGCAGCAGUGAGGAAUAUUGGUCAAUGGACGCAAGUCUGAACCAGCCAUGCCGCGUGCAGGAAUAAGGCCCUAUGGGUCGUAAACUGCUUUUGUGGUGGAGCAAUAAGUCGUACGUGUACGGCGGUGAGAGUACAUCACGAAUAAGCAUCGGCUAACUCCGUGCCAGCAGCCGCGGUAAUACGGAGGAUGCAAGCGUUAUCCGGAUUUAUUGGGUUUAAAGGGUGCGUAGGCUGUGGUCCAAGUCAGGGGUGAAAGCCCGGAGCUCAACUCCGGAACUGCCUUUGAUACUGGAUUGCUGGAAUACGGAUGCCGUGGGAGGAAUGAGUAGUGUAGCGGUGAAAUGCAUAGAUAUUACUCAGAACACCGAUUGCGAAGGCAUCUCACGAAUCCGUCAUUGACGCUGAGGCACGAAAGCGUGGGGAUCAAACAGGAUUAGAUACCCUGGUA